CUCGCGAUCAGGCGGGCUAGCGUCAGCUUCUCCUGCAUUGUGGGCGCCGUCGGCGUCCGUGUCGAGGGGCUCGGCGGCCUGGUCUGCCCUCUCUUCUUCCUCUGUUCCGGCACCGCCGUCGCCGACGCAAGGGCCCUCGUCCACCGUCGCGUCGGACGAUGCUUCGGCUGGUGCGGAGAGCACGUCGAUCCAGCCCUCGUCGGAGUCCCACCAGUCCGGCAGCGCCGAAGCAGGGCAGGCCAACGCGCCGAUCCUGUCGGCGGUGCUCUGUGCCGACACCGCGUCGACGUCGACGUCGUGGUGGUGGCGGUGGUCGUCGUCGCUGUCGCUGUCGCUCUCGGACUCCCAGAAUGCCGCGUCCAGCGUGCUCUUUGGCGACACCCACGUGCCCUUGGCGCCGUCCAGGUCCAGCGUGCUCUUGGAGGCGACGAACGGGUGCUCGAGCAGCUGCGCCGCCGUGGACCGGUCGCCGGGGCGCCGCGCCAGGCACCGGCCCAGGAAGUCCUUGGCCUCGGCGGACAGCCACUGGGGCACCUCGGGGACGGCGUCCGUGUACCCGAUGAGGCGCACCGCGGCAAGCACGUCGCCGGCGGCGGCGGCCCACGGCGCGCGGCCGGUGGCCAUCGCGAGGACGGUGCAGCCCAGCGCCCAGACGUCGGCAGGCGGGCCCUGCGCCUCCGCGCGCGCCACCUCCGGCGCCAUGAACGCCGGCGUGCCGCCGAUCGGCAGCGCGGCGUCGUCGUCCGCGGCCCUCCUCGCGCACCCGAAGUCGGCGAGCUUGGCGCGGCCGUCGGCGCCGACGACCACGUUCCGCGGCUUGACGUCGCCGUGCACGAGGCCGGCGGCGUGGACGUACGCGAGCCCCGCGGCCACGUCGGCCGCGUACGCCGCGACGGCGCGCUCCUCGAGCCGCCCGCCGCUCCGGGCCGCGGCCACGUCGGCCAGCGACCCGCCGGGCGCGUACUCGAGGAAGAGCUGGUACGAGCCGUCGCGCCCCGCGCGGCCGCCGAUGCAUGGGACGACGUGCGGCGAGCGGAGGCCCGCCAUGAGCGCGCGCUCCCGCCGCAGCAGCUCCGCGCCCGCCGCCGCCGGCGCGCACUUGACCGCGAACAGAUCCCCCGACGCCUGGUCGGCGGCCAGGAACACCUCCGCGCCCGACGCGCCGCGGCCCAGCGUCCUCACCCGCGUCCACCUCCCGCUCACGGCCAUCGCCAUGCCGCGCGCGGUUGUUGCGAUCUGCUUGCUUGCUUGCUCUUCUUGUUUGUUUCUCGCGUGCUGCUGUGGUGGUGGUUGUUUCUGUUGGCCCUGACUUGUCUCGAGCUGGCCUUGCGUUGCUGAGUCCUUUUUGUGGCGGGUGCCAGGUGCGUUUGUUUAUAUAUAGGGGGGAUGGGGGAUGCUAUUGCUUGUUCUUGGGAUUAGGAAGGACUGCAAGUUUAGAACAUGGAAG
This 1447-nucleotide unclassified non-coding RNA is filed under the name Zea mays. RNAcentral's name for it is "misc RNA Zm00001eb294630". The record is from RNAcentral. Lineage: Eukaryota; Viridiplantae; Streptophyta; Magnoliopsida; Poales; Poaceae.